UACGAAGGGGGCUAGCGUUGUUCGGAAUUACUGGGCGUAAAGCGCACGUAGGCGGAUUGUUAAGUCAGGGGUGAAAUCCUGGAGCUCAACUCCAGAACUGCCUUUGAUACUGGCAAUCUUGAGUCCGGAAGAGGUGAGUGGAACUCCUAGUGUAGAGGUGGAAUUCGUAGAUAUUAGGAAGAACACCAGUGGCGAAGGCGGCUCACUGGUCCGGUACUGACGCUGAGGUGCGAAAGCGUGGGGAGCAAACAGG
RNAcentral lists this ribosomal RNA (253 nucleotides) under uncultured bacterium. Its description in RNAcentral is "partial 16S ribosomal RNA". It matches the Rfam family "Bacterial small subunit ribosomal RNA", at positions 524 to 776 of the family's 1533-position model. The record is from RNAcentral.